CAUGAAGUUGCAGGUGAUCCUGAGCCCAAGCCCUGGCUAUGGAGGCCUAGUUAGUGUUCUCUCCACUGGCAGGCCGGAUACCUCAGGAUGAGUAUGUGUUUUCUGAGCACCCAGUAAGCAUGAGGCCCUGGGCGCAGCACGCCUUCAGGAGCUGGUAGUCUCAUUGGGAUGUAAGCCUCACACUUCAUCUUCAACCUCUUGGUGUUCCCUGAGGAGAGCUUCUGAGAGCUGGGUGCUGGGGUGACAGGGUGGAGACGUGGUCCAUCUCUACCCACUGGGCGAAAAUUGCUAGAAUCAUCUAUAACGUGCUACAGGGACUAGGGGAGCAGUGAGCUUAGCAGGGCUUUUGGGAACAAGAGGAUCUUGUAUUUACAUAAAGUAACUUUGAAACAGUCAAGUAGAAAUUAAAGCCUGGUUAGUCUCCCUCCACUUUUCACAGUGCGUCCUUCAUACACCCUCUGCUGCUUGCUCCUCUCCAGCCACACUGCUCCAUCUGCACAAGCAGUUUCCUCCUCCUGGAAAUGCUGUCGUCCUCCUCCUCAUCUUGGCUGCAGCUACAAGACUCCAUCCAUCUCCUUUCUGCCCCCACUCCCUUGAGAAUCUGCCACUUCCCCCUCCAGGCUCCUCCUGAACUUCAGAAUUAUUACUGUAACUCCUAGUUUACCCACCCUUUUCCCCACUGACCAUCUCCUUUCGAGUUCAUGGACUAUACCUCAUUCAUUUUCACCUCCCUAAUGCCUAGCUUAGGGCAUCACACAUGGUGGGUGAAGGUUUGUUGAGUGGAAUAAAAGAGAGAAGAAUGAAGGAACAAAUAAUCAUAAGUUCUCAGUCCAGGCUCAUCAGGUGGCUAUGUGGACAUUACUCAUCAUGAAGCUCAGAGGAAGGAGACACAUUUCCAGCUCCAUGUGGUUGAGAAGAGGGGAAAUUUGAAGGAAUGAACACUUGGAGAGGGUGCAGUGUUGUGUCUCAGACAGAAGGAGCCGGUGUCAAGGCUGUUCCAGAGAUGGAAGGCGGAGCAGUUGUGCUGAUGCAGUACAUUCAUGGGAAACAGUGAGAGAUGAAAGGCAGGCUGCUGCAGGCCAUCCUUACCUGCCCUUGAAUGCCAGGAAGUUCUUUAUCUCUGAGACGCUGAAGGAUUUUGAGCAGGGGAGCCACAGAAUCAGAGUGGCUGAUUUAACAGAACUUUGAUUUGUGCACAGGAAGGUGCAGGUUUUUGGUGAAGCAGAUGUGUAUUUAUUGAGCUUCUAUACACAUAUGCUUCUUCCAGCAGAUGGUAGGCACAGAGCUGGUCACCUAGGAAAGACAGGAAAAACUGUCCCUGCCCUCAAGUCAUUCAUGUUAGCAAGGAAGGCAAGAAGGCAAGACAAUAAAGCAGGCUGUUACCCAGCACUGUUGGGGUGGUGUGGAGAGACUUUAAGGGAAGGUUUCCCAAAAGUUAGGAUACCUGAACUGCAUCUUCAAAGAAGAUCAGAGGUAACCAGGCGAAGAAGGUGGCAGGGGAGAGGCACAUUUCCAAGUAGGUGGUUUGUACCAAAUCAUAGAGGUUUGGGAGGCAAAUUAACAAAUCAUAAAUAGUUCAAGGUGGAUAGAGAUAGGAGGUGCAGACCUCAUAGGACUCUGGGUGCCACACUGAGGAGUUUGAAUCUUAUCCUAAAGACAAGGAUGAGCCAUUGAAGUGUUUUGAUUGAGAGAUCUGGUUGGAUUUUUGUUUUACAACGAUCGCUUGGCUGCCUGCAGAGAAUAAGUUGAAAGGGAUAAGGUUGGUGUUUUAGAACCAAUCUGGGAGGCCAUUAAUCCAGGGAGGAUGACAAAUGUCUGAGCUUGGACAGGGAUAGAGCAGGGGAUAGACUGGAGGUGUUUAGGAGGUAGAAUCCUUAGAUUUGGCUGACCCAGUGGAAGGAGAGGGGAGGGGGAGAAGUGAUGGAUGACUUCUGUCUACCUUAUGGUACAUGCUGUUCAGUGAUCUGGGUUAAAGAGCAGAUUUGGAGAAAGAUAAGGACUUCAUGGUGGAUAAUGAAUUCAUUUGCAGUGCCUGAGGAGUGUCUAAGUGAGGUGGUAAAUGGUAAGUUAAGAUGUAAGUCUGGAGCUCAGGAGAGAGGCCUGGGGUAAGAUGGCAACAUAGGAAUUAAUUAAAACUAUAGGAAGAAUGAGAUCUCCCAAGGAGGUUUUGUUGACUGAGAAGGGCUAAGGAUAGAACCUUUUGAAAAACCACCUUUGGAAACACCAGGGGUACUGAGGAAGGAGGAAAUCAUGAAAGAAACUAGAAAGGAGUAGUAAGAAGUGGAAGGAAAACCAGGAGAGUGUGGACUCUGCAAACAGAAGUGUCCAGAAAGGGAUCAGUUGUGUCUAGUACCACAAUCAAGUCAGGUCAGGUAAGGAUUGAGUUGUAGCCUUCAGAUUUAGCAAAAAGGAGGUCGUUGGUGACCUUGACACAUUCACUCUUUAGUGCCCACAGAGAAGAG
RNAcentral lists this long non-coding RNA (2462 nucleotides) under Homo sapiens (human). RNAcentral's name for it is "non-protein coding lnc-SLC28A1-4:1". The record is from RNAcentral. Lineage: Eukaryota; Metazoa; Chordata; Mammalia; Primates; Hominidae.